UUUCCGUAGGUGAACCUGCGGAAGGAUCAUUAAUGAGUUGUCAUGGGGUUCGAUGCUGGCAGCCAAUUUUUGGAUGCAUGUGCUUGCCCUAACAAUCAUCAUCCAAACACCUGUGCACAUUUUUGAGGGAGUCUUGAGUUGGUUGCCGCUCUUGGGUGAUUUUCUCACAUUCCCUUAAAUCAUUAUACGCUAUUAACAAUGUUGAACGUGCUCUGUGCCGCAAGGCUAUUAAUAUAAUACAACUUUUAACAACGGAUCUCUUGGCUCUC
RNAcentral lists this unclassified non-coding RNA (269 nucleotides) under plant metagenome. RNAcentral's name for it is "partial contains small subunit ribosomal RNA, internal transcribed spacer 1, and 5.8S ribosomal RNA". The record is from RNAcentral.